AACGGGACUCUUCGGAGUUCAGUGGCGGACGGGUGAGUAACGCGUGAGAAUCUGCCUUCAGGUUGGGGACAACCACUGGAAACGGUGGCUAAUACCGAAUAAGCCAAACGGUGAAAGAUUUAUUGCCUGAAGAUGAGCUCGCGUCUGAUUAGCUAGUUGGUGGGGUAAAGGCCUACCAAGGCGUCGAUCAGUAACUGGUCUGAGAGGAUGAUCAGUCACACUGGGACUGAGACACGGCCCAG
Molecule: ribosomal RNA, 242 nt
Filed under: uncultured bacterium
Lineage: Bacteria
Description: partial 16S ribosomal RNA
Rfam family: Bacterial small subunit ribosomal RNA
Source: RNAcentral